UUCCAGCUCCAAUAGCGUAUAUUUUAGUUGUUACAGUUAAAAAGCUCGUAGUUGAAUUUCUGGUGGGAAGAUGCGGACGGCCUCAUGGCUUGUUCCAAGUCUUCCGGCCAUCCUUGGGUGGAGCUCGUCUGGCAUUAAGUUGUCGGGCGGGGGAUGCCCAUCGUUUACUGUGAAAAAAUUAAAGUGUUCAAAGCAGACUUAUGUCGUUGAAUAUAUUAGCAUGGAAUAAUAAGAUAGGACAGCAGUGCUAUUUUGUUGGUUUGCGCACCGUUGUAAUGAUGAAUAGGGACAGUUGUGGGUAUUUAUAUUCACUUGUAAGAGGUGAAAUUCUUAGAUUAAGGGAAGAUAAACUACUGCGAAAGCAUUUACCAAGGAUGUUUUCAUCG
This 386-nucleotide ribosomal RNA is filed under the name Chaetoceros sp. RNAcentral describes it as "partial small subunit ribosomal RNA". It matches the Rfam family "Eukaryotic small subunit ribosomal RNA", at positions 583 to 975 of the family's 1831-position model. The record is from RNAcentral. Lineage: Eukaryota; Bacillariophyta; Thalassiosirophyceae; Chaetocerotales; Chaetocerotaceae.